This 150-nucleotide unclassified non-coding RNA is filed under the name uncultured Mycosphaerella. RNAcentral's name for it is "sequence contains ITS1". The record is from RNAcentral. Lineage: Eukaryota; Fungi; Ascomycota; Dothideomycetes; Mycosphaerellales; Mycosphaerellaceae.
CUGAGUUCGCCGGUCGCUCACCCGACCCGAUCUCCAACCCUUUGUGAACACAUCUUGUUGCUUCGGGGGCGACCCUGCCGUUCGCGGCAUUCCCCCCGGAGGUCAUCAAAACACUGCAUUCUUACGUCGGAGUAAAAAGUUAAUUUAAUA